AUGUACCGGGGCUAAACGUGCCGCCGAAGCUGCGGGAUGACCGUUGGUCAUCGGUAGGGGAGCGUUCUAAGGGCGUUGAAGCCAGACCGGAAGGACUGGUGGAGCGCUUAGAAGUGAGAAUGCCGGUGUGAGUAGCGAAAACAGAGGUGAGAAUCCUCUGCACCGAAAGCCUAAGGGUUCCUGAGGAAGGUUCGUCCGCUCAGGGUUAGUCGGGACCUAAGCCGAGGCCGAAAGGCGUAGGUGAUGGGCAACAGGUUGAGAUUCCUGUACCACCUCCUCACCGUUUGAGCAAUGGGGGGACGCAGGAAGGUAGGGCGAGCAGGCUGCUGGAAUAGCCUGUCCAAGCGGUUAGGCUGCCAGAUAGGCAAAUCCGUCUGGCAUAAAGGCUGAGCCGUGAUGGCGAAGGGACCAUCGGUCCCGAAGUCCCCGAUCCUACACUGCCAAGAAAAGCCUCUAGCGAGGUGAGAGGUGCCCGUACCGCAAACCGACACAGGUAGGCGAGGAGAGAAUCCUAAGGUGCGCGGGAGAACUCUCGUUAAGGAACUCGGCAAAAUGACCCCGUAACUUCGGGAGAAGGGGUGCUCUCUUGGGUGAUGAGCCCGAGAGAGCCGCAGUGAAAAGGCCCAAGCGACUGUUUAUCAAAAACACAGGUCUCUGCGAAGCCGAAAGGCGAAGUAUAGGGGCUGACACCUGCCCGGUGCUGGAAGGUUAAGGGGAGCGCUUAAGCCGCAAGGCUGAAGGUGCGAACCGAAGCCCCAGUAAACGGCGGCCGUAACUAUAACGGUCCUAAGGUAGCGAAAUUCCUUGUCGGGUAAGUUCCGACCCGCACGAAAGGUGUAACGACUUGGGCACUGUCUCAACGAGAGACCCGGUGAAAUCAUACUACCUGUGAAGAUGCAGGUUACCCGCGACAGGACGGAAAGACCCCGUGGAGCUUUACUGCAGCCUGAUAUUGAAUUUUGGUAUCGCUUGUACAGGAUAGGUGGGAGCCUGAGAAGCCGGAGCGCCAGCUUCGGUGGAGGCGGCGGUGGGAUACCACCCUGGCGAUAUUGAAAUUCUAACCCGCACCCCUUAGCGGGGUGGGAGACAGUGUCAGGCGGGCAGUUUGACUGGGGCGGUCG
RNAcentral lists this ribosomal RNA (1121 nucleotides) under Geobacillus stearothermophilus. RNAcentral's name for it is "bacterial LSU rRNA". It matches the Rfam family "Bacterial large subunit ribosomal RNA", at positions 1170 to 2285 of the family's 2925-position model. The record is from RNAcentral. Lineage: Bacteria; Bacillati; Bacillota; Bacilli; Caryophanales; Anoxybacillaceae.